Molecule: non-coding RNA, 97 nt
Organism: Acanthosepion pharaonis
Lineage: Eukaryota; Metazoa; Mollusca; Cephalopoda; Sepiida; Sepiidae
Source: the annotation of a GenBank genome assembly
AAAAUACCUGAUCUCGUACGAUCACCGAUGUUAAGCAACGUCGAGCCUAGUCAGUACCUAGAUGGGUGACCGCUUGGGAAUAACAUGGUGCCGUCAG